Molecule: long non-coding RNA, 20312 nt
Filed under: Daucus carota (carrot)
Lineage: Eukaryota; Viridiplantae; Streptophyta; Magnoliopsida; Apiales; Apiaceae
Description: long non-coding RNA (DCAR_LNC003386)
Source: RNAcentral
AUUUCCUCUGUGUGUAUUUUUCUUUCCUCCCAAGCCUGCACAGAUAAUACACAGUUCUGAGCUUCCAUUGUUAAAAACACAGUCCAAGUUUCCACAAGCCCUAGUGGCCAACAUUCAACAAUAACUGGAGAUGAUUCAAGAGAGAGUCAUCAUCAGUUGAUGAUGAACGCUUCUGAACCAGAUGCAGGUUCUUCAUGUGGUGACCUUUCAAAUGACAUAAUAGAUAGUGAUUGUAAUAUGUGCGGCAAAGAGCUAUCUUCUGUAGUUAUCUCCCCAUGUAAAUAUUUAUGUUGUUUCAAAACAUGUGAUGCUAACGUGUACUCUUGCCCGUCUUGCCCUGUGUGCAAAAUGGCCAAGAAAAGCAGUUUGGAGGUUUCCUGGCCUCUGAUAAAGAAAGGAGCAGACUGAGAGGACUUUGAGGUGGGAGUAACCCAGAACGAUUCCUCUUAAUUCGCUGGAGACCCUCCCCUUGAAAACAUAGAUUAAUCCUCCUUUUUGUAGCCUUCCCAGUCUCGGAUCUGAUUGCAUGCAGUAGGUUUGUUUAGCUAUGUUUAGGUCCAGCUGUGUAGUUUAGUAGCCUAUGUUCCUAUGUUCAGUUGCUUAUUACUGGGUUGAGGCAUAUAUGUUGCUUAUGUUCUACCCUUCCUCUUGUUGGAGAGGUUUGGGUUAUUAAUAAAUGGGAAAUUCUCAAUGGUACACUUCUAGUUUUGGCUUUUCCAAAUGGUACGCAAAAUAUUUUUGACUUCUGGUUGGUACACUUAUACAAUUCUAACAUUCUGUGCCAUACCCUUCCCGUCAACAUCUGUUAAUCAAACGUUAACUUCUCCUCAAUUAAACCUUAAAUAAAAUUUAAAAAAAACCUAAAAACAGAAGAAAUUACAGCCGAAAUGGGUUCGAACUCAAAUGGAUAACCACAACACAUACACGCGGGUUUACAGAAAAUUGGGAAUUAGGGUUUUGAGAUACAAAGGUCACGACGACUUGAAAUCAAAAGAAAAUCAAAGGCCGAUUCUCUUGAUUGGGUGCGGACUGAUGAAGGCAGGAGAUUGUGGGGUGGUGCGUUUCGUCACGGCGGAGGGAUAUUGAGGCGUACACGCGGCAGAGGGAUGAGGUGGAGUACGGGUGAUAAAGGGAGAGAUGGUGGGCAGAGGUUGGAGGUUGCAGUCAUUGAUGGGUCUGUUGUGGGGUGAGGGCUUUCAUCGUCGGUAACCGGUGAUAAAGGAGUUAGAUUGCUGGGAGAGAAAGGCCGACGGUGGCGAUGGUGGUAGGAAGGUUAUGUUGCUGCCGUAAUACGAAGCAGAGUGGUGGCAAUUUCAAUAGGCCAUAUUUUCUUUUGUUUCUAAUUUUUCUUAUUUUAUUCAAGGUUAAUUGAUGAAAAGUUAACGUUUGGUUAACGGAUGUUGACGGGAGGGGUAUGGCAUAGAACAUUUGAAUAAUAUAAGUGUACCAACCAGAAGCCAAAAACAUUUUGUGUACCAUUUGGAAAAGUCAAAACUAGAAGUGUACCAUUGAGAAUUUCCCUUAAUAAAUUGGUGUUUGUCUAAAAAAAAUAAUUCAAAAACGCUUAGUUUACUAUUACAAUUUACAACAUACCAAACUAGUCUCAGACUCAUAGCUAGUGUGCUUUGUUGUUUGACUAAUCAAUGAUAACUUGCCAAGUUACCACACAUCAUGUAUCAAAUACGGUGUUAUAAGAAGCCUCAGUGGCUUAGAGCACUUGUUUUCUUUGGCUAACCAAUGACUACUUGACUUCCCAAUUAUAGCAAAUUAUAGCAAAUUUUGUUAAGUACGUACAAUUAACAAUCUCAUGGGAGACCCCAUUUUAAUGAUUAAAUUAACAAAUAUUUAUUAAAUAUAUUUAGAUUUGUUAUAAUUUUUCAAAAUAGUCAAAAAUCAUAGAGAUGUAUUUAGAUUAAUGAAUUUUUUUUUAAAACCAAAUAGUUAAAAUUGAUCAAUUUCAUAGGUAUAAUUAUUUUUCUAAAGACUACAUUUAAUUAAAUCUUACCUAUAAAAUAUCAAACUAUUAAAAUUUAAAAACAAACAACCACUGUAUAAACGAAAACAAGUCUUAGUUACUCAUAGAAAUAAAGUUUUGAUCAUCCAGCAUUUUUAUGCAAUCAAAUAUCAAGAUUAAAAGUUAAAAAGUAUGCAAAUAUUCACCACAAAAAAGCAAGACAAAACCGACCACUUAAAACCGACCGUCGUGUCGGGAUAAAAUCGACGGGCACAAAUCGGUCGAUUUUAAUGAAAAUCACAUCGUUCAGCUUUGCUGACAAGACUUCGACUUAUUUAAACCGACCGAAUCAAUUUUGAUCGGUUUUGGAGUUGACUUGUCCGGAUAAUAGCCAACCAACUCGUCAGUCGGUUAAGUGUUUGGGUAUCUUUAAUUAGUUUUUAAAUUAUUUGUUAGACAAACCAGUGUCGUAUUGUAUCUAAAGACAAAACCGACUGGCAUUCGCUCAGUUUUAACUCUAUUUUUUAUUUUUCAAUAUAUUUAUUUAUUUGAGAAAUGAAAAAUAGAUACGCAUCAAAGAAGCGAUACGACGACAUUUUAUGUUAAAAUGCAUAACCGACCACGUGGUGGUCGAUUUUAACCCGUUUUUUUAUAGCUAAAUCUCUAUCUCCCUCACUACUCUUCUUUUCUUUUUACCCGUCUUAUCUUUUUUUCCUCUCCUUUCCCAAAAUUUUUAUCACUCUCUACCCCCUGUCUCUACCUUAAACCUCUCCCCCGCUCUCUCUCUCUUUAUACAGAAAUGCGCAUAAAAAACACGGAUCUUAAACUUAGUUGGGACUCGAUAAUGGAUAUCAAACUCAACUAGGGUUCAAUCUCAAUUUGCAGAUAUAUAUAUCGAUCUCUCCCUCAGUUCCCCUUUAUAUGUUUAUGUAUGUUUAUAUACGUUUGUGCAUGGUAAUUUGAUGUUUAUUGCCCUUGCUAGACAAUUAUACAUUUGGUUGUUAUGGAAAUUUGAUGUUUAUGGUAAUUGUUAUUGUUCUUGUGGGUUAGUUAAUUUGAUUGGUUAGUUGGUUAGUUGGUUGGUGGUUGGUGGUCGCAGGUAAUGAUAAUAAAUAGAAACAGUAGAACCUUUUAUUUAAAGAAAAAUCCAGAAAACCGACCGACCACCGUCAUAACCGACCAUAAAUAUCGUUUUACCUUUCAGAAAACCGACUGGCAAUAAUCAUAACCGACCAUGAUUACCAUAAAUCAUGCCAGAAAACCGACCGAAGAGCACAUAUAUAACUGACAAUGGUGACAUUUGCCAUCGCAAAAAACCGACCGCUUCCUUUAAAAAUUGGUCGGUUAUGGUUGGUCGGAUUUACUCAACUGCAGAGCCAUCUGUGCUAAACUCGACCAAUAACGCAAAAUCGACCAUAUGAGCGGUUGGUUUUAAUACAACAAAACUCAUCUUCUCUUGUCUCAAACCCAACCAACUCUAUUAAACCGACCACUUUCGGUCGGUUUUAUUAUGCUCGGAGAACCUUUGACCAUUUUUGGUCAAAAAUUUUAACCGACCGAGCCAUAGUCGAUUUUAAUACAACAAAACUCAUUUGCUCCUGUCCUAAACCCGACAACUCUAUUAAACCGACCACUCCGGUCAGUUUUAUUAUGCUCGGAGAACCUUUGAUUUAACCGACCAACGAGCGGUCGGUUAUACAUAUACAUGUGGCACUUGCGUCCAAGUGGCACCAGCUGGUAACGUAGGGCCGGUUUGGAGGGAUUUUGAAAUUGCUAGAACCGACCACCUGUCUAGUCGGUUUUAAAGAUUAAACACGACCAAUGUGUCUUAACGACCAGGUUAAAACCGACCACCUUUGCUGGUUAGUUCUAGGUCUAAAAUUGACCAUUCCUAAACCCGACAACUCUAUUAAACCGACCACUCCGGUCAGUUUUAUUAUGCUCGGAGAACCUUUGAUUUAACCGACCAACGAGCGGUCGGUUAUACAUAUACAUGUGGCACUUGCGUCCAAGUGGCACCAGCUGGUAACGUAGGGCCGGUUUGGAGGGAUUUUGAAACUGCUAGAACCGACCACCUGUCUAGUCGGUUUUAAAGAUUAAACACGACCAAUGUGUCUUAACGACCAGGUUAAAACCGACCACCUUUGCUGGUUAGUUCUAGGUCUAAAAUUGACCAUUUUUGGACUUAAACGACGGUAUUUGUCGGUCGGUUUCCCAAUUUUUUGGUAGUGAUUGGAUGACAGAUAUUUGAGAAAAUCAUUGUUUGAAACCUAUUUCAUUACAUCAAAUUUGUUGAACUAUUAGAAGUUCAAUUAUUUAAUUCAAAAAUGAUUAUCAAAUUUAUUAAUUUUUAAAUUAUUAUUUAAUAUGUCUAGUUACUGAAAACUUAUAUUACAAUGUUAUUGUGGCCUGUCAAACGUUUUCUUCCAAUCCUAUUCUUGAAUUGUAGGCCUUCGUUUCUUUUUGAUUAUAUGAUUAUUUGUCAGGGCUCUUUUCAAUGCUCAAUUUAUAGAAAUCUUAACAUUUUAUAACAUUUAUUAUAUAUUUAUUUUUAAAUUAUAUAUAUGACACUAAUUCAACAAAAUUAAAUUUAAAUAAUUGAUUUAAAUAGCUUAGUCAGGAUUAUUUGGCGUGUGAAGUGAGCAUAUAAUAAGAAAGAUCGAUUAUACUUUUGGGUCCUAAUUCAUAUACAAUUUCUGAAAAAACAUAAAACAAAAGAACGUAAAUGAAUGUUAUUUAAAAUAUGAUAAUUAUUUUUUUCAGCAUCUUCCCACAAAGAUACUCUAGAUAGAGUAUUUAUAAAUUUAAUAUAACAUAAAUAAAUGUUUAAAUAAGAGUAUCUCUAAGAGGCGAAUAUUUUAUGCUUUUGAAAUAUGAGAAAUUAAUGGAUGAUACCUAGAAAGAUUUUUACAACAAAUAUUUAUUAAAUAAGUAAAUAAAAUGAAGCAAGCUAGAAGAACAAAAAUGAAUUGGCCGUACAAUUUGGGAAACCAACUUACAAUUGCCAGUUAUAUUCCACAUUAAUAAAAAUUACUAAAAAUUAUCUAAGAAGAUGAGAAACUUAAAUAUUAAUAGCAUAUUUGGGAACGUGGAUUUCAUUUGAAAUUUUGCAUUUGUCAAAUAACCGAUUUGUAAAUUUGGAUUUGUAUUUCGUUUGAAAUCUAGACACUCAAAUAUUAGUAUAAAUCUAAAAAUUUGAAAUAACAAUUUAAAUCUUGUCAUUUGAAAUGAAAUACAUAUUUUUAAAUGACCUUUAACAGAUUUAUUAUAAUUAAUUAGAGAAUAAUUAGGAUAUUCUCUGUAAUAGUACUGAAUAAUUGACUUCUAUCACUACCAUUACAUUUGUUGCUUCUAACUUGUAUAUAUUUGACUUUUCAUAUAUAAUAUUUUUGUAUUAAGUAUAAUGUAAAAGAGUACUAUAAUCUCAAAUACUACUGUUUGCAUGCAUUUUGAUACUCUUCUAGUCCUAUAACGUUUUUUUAAUCUAUUUUUUAUAAAUAAAAGUUUAAAUAUCAAACUUUUAUUCACGAAAAAAUUUUAAAAAAAAUUAUGGAUCAUUGAAGUAUUUGUAAAAAACAUCAAAUAGAAAGUCCCCUCCUGAGGUGUAUUAGGGCUUCUGUCUCAUUUACUGCCUCAACCUUGUCUACCGCUUGUUUGAAUCGUCUUAAGUAGCUCUCAAGGUCUUCUCGGUCUCCGAUGGAUUCCAAAUAAAUGGUAUGUAUCUCAUGAUGUUUGUUGGUUCCGAACUUAGCGAGGAAAGUCUUUUUAAAAUCCACCCAUGUAUCUAUAGUUCUCGUGGGGAGCCUGUUAAACCAUCUCUGCGCAUUUCCCUUGAGGCUGGUCGCGAAGAAGCGGCAGCUAGUGAGGUCAUUGUACUCAUAGAAUUUGCUCAGCUGGUCAAACUGGUUGAGGUGAUCUUCCGGGUCGCUUUCACCGUUGUAAGCGUCUAGACUUGGGUGCUUUAGGUGCCUUUGUUUUCUUUCGUCUUCCAACCUCCGCGUAAACGGGGAUUCGCCUAUUGCCGCAGAUACUUCUCCUUCUACUCUUUUCUUUAGAUCUACUCUUUUCUUUAGAUCAUUGAUGGUUUUUCUCUCAGUGGUCGAGCUCGAGAGGUCAGGGGAUGAAUUUCAUGCAACCACCCCUUCCUGGCGCGCCAAAUGAUAAGACUCAAAAUGCCUCCUGCCAGGUGUCACUGAAUGCGUCCUUUGUUUUCUACGGUGGCGAGCUGUACGUGAACUGUAUGUGGGGUAACCUGCAAAACAAUGCCUAGCCGGGGGUGGUGGCCGUAAGGCACCUCCGGUGUGAUAAUGAGUAACUCUUUUAUUUCAAUCUCUUUUACUAGUUUAGUGCGUACCUCGUAAUGUCAUUUCUCUUUCUUAUUUAUAGUUCUUCAUCCUCGCUCCUGGACCUCUCUCGGUUACACGUGUCAAGGAGAAUAUUCUCUUUUCUCUCCCGCAGAUGAUGACUUUCCGUGGACUUUGCUUUACGCGCCCGCAUGAGGUUGGGAUUCCUUUCAGCUGACGUCCUCCCUGUGACGUAAUGAGUUCCUACGUGUCCAUGAUCUGGGGUGGUCCCCAUCAGAUUUCAUAUCGAUUUUUCUUCUGAAGACCGAACAAAAGAAAGUGGCAGGACGAAUAUCAUCAGUUUGAUUUCAGCACCCUGCUAGAGUAAAGAGUUUUGACAUUUUUUUCCUAUAUAGCUAAAGUGGGAUUAGAUUAAUUAGAUUGGUUGUACAGUAAAAAUGAAUUUUGGCUUGCUAAACUGAUUUAGACUUUUGUUUAUUAACAUAAUUUCCACACUUCAAUUACAAAAAUAACAAAUGAUGUUGUGAUAAGGAUAUUUAUAUAAUUUUUGUGUUGUUUCAUAACGUGAAAGUGAACCUUAAUUAGCUUGUCCACAUAUUCUGGAUAUUUAAAAAAAGACAUGUGAAGCUAUUAUAAUUAGUUGAAAAGUUAAAAUUUAUGUUGGAGGAGGCUGGCCUAAAGUUACUUGGUUCUAUGAUAGUUUCAAAUUAACUUCUUUUCUUUUGUCAAGUAAUUUUAUUUUCCUCUUACAUCUUGAUUAAAUAAAUAAUUUAAAUGAUAAACAAGAUGGCAAAUUUUGAGAUUAACUAAGUUUUUAUUCCACCUUAUCUCAUAUAUAUUAAAACAAAUUAUGUCAUUUUUUGCAAUUUUAUAAAAAUAAAAGUACACUCCUCAACAAUAUAAAAUGCUUAUAUUCAAAUGAGAUUUGAGUUGGAUUGAAAUUUUUAUAAUCAAUUCAAAUAGAUGAAUAAACUUAUAAGGUCAAACUUCUAAAACAUUAAGGCCCAAUAUUGGCCCACCCACUAAUAUUAGGUAUAGUGUAGGUCAUUUCGGUUAGGUAUUAUAUAUAGAUAGGGAAAGGGGUGUUCCUCAAUUUCGCAGCCGGCCCAAUAUUGGCCCACCCACUAAUAUUAGGUAUAGCGUAAGUAUAUAUAGAUAGGGAAAGGGGUGUACAUCAGUUCCGCCGCCCGCCUGCAACACACCUGUUCAAAACACAUCUCAAUAUUUUGGCCUUUCUAUAUAUAAUUAUAUUGUUAGUUCUAUUUCACUAGCCAACAAUUAUUCAAAUCAUAUGUUGUGGUUAUGUACUCUCUUUGGCAUGAUUAACAAUAUCAGGUACGUUAAGUGAUUUGUGAAAUCAUAUAUUUGAUGUGAUUAACUAUAAUUCUAUUAUAAUGUUUUUGUAUUUUUAGUUGGAAUGAUUAUUAUUGAAUUUAUUAUUCUGGUGUUGUUUUUUUAAAGAAUUAUAGCUGGUGAAGUAUGGAAAAUAAUGAAGAAAAUGCUCCAAGAAUAUGCAGGCAUAUCUCCAGUGGCAGGUUGGAAUUUAUCGUUAAAAUGCUUUUGUUGUAAUUGCUUGAUAUAUUUUUUUUAUUAAAAGGAUCAUGGUUAUAUUUACUUUUCAGUACUUAUUAUGUACUUGUUUUUAAUGCAGAACCUGCAAACAAUCACUUCAGUUGUGAAUGAAAGCACUAAUCAGGUUAACCUCAUUCUCAAUUGUGCUUCACAUCUUCUGGAUUUGAUCCAAGAAAAAGAGAACGAGGUGGCGGAAACAAACCAUGCAAACUGGGGACUCCAGAUGUGUUUAAAUGAAUAUGACUAUCAACUGAAAGUUUGCAGCAGAUAGCACUGGAGAAAUAAGCCCUAGUGGCCAACCUUCAACAACAACUGGUGAUGAUUCAAGAGAGUCAUCAUCAGUUGAUGAUGAAUGCUUCUCAACCUGAUGCAGGUUCUUCAUGUGGUGACCCUUCAAAUGACAUAAUAGAUAGGGAUUGUCAAAUGUGCGGGGAAGAGAUCUCCUCUGUAGUUUUAUUACCUUGUAAACAUUUAUGUUGUUGCAGAACAUGUGAAGCUAAUGUGCACUCUUGCCCUGUGUGUAAAAUGGCAAAGGAAAGCAGUUUAGAGGUUUCCUGGCCUCUGAUUAAGAAAGGGACAGACUGAGAGGAGAGAAAAUGGAGAAGAAUGAAUUAGAUGGUCCUUUUUUUUUCGGAGUGGUAUGUUAUUUUAGAGACAGUGGUGAAUGUUUCUUUAAAGAAUGAAUAUUAGAAAAUAAUCAAUCAUAUCAUUUAUAUUCAUUCUUGUGGAGAAUUUUUUAUGCUUUUUCUUUCCGGUAAUUUAUACAUGUCAUUGAUAAGAUAAUGGGGCUGUUUGGAUACUUCUUGUAUAGAGUAAGAACUGAAACAAGUCAAGAUUAUAACCGAUUAAAAUGAAACAAAAUCUAUGCAUUUCAUUUAAAAUCUAUGCAUUCAAAUAUUAGUAUAAAUAUAAGAAUUUAAAAUAAUAAUUCAAAUCUUGUCAUUUGAAAUGAAAUAUAUGUUUUUUUAAAUAUAUAAUUUUUUUGAUAUAUUCUAACUUAAAAAUAUCGAUCUUCUAAAAUAACAUCGAGCAACAUAGUAAUUAUCUUUUUAAGUAAAACACAUUAUCUUUUUUAGAUUUUCCUAUUAAAAAAAGACCGAUCUUCUAUGGUUAACACGGGCGACAUAUAUAUAAAAAUAUAAUAUUAUCGUAUAUAAUUAUCAAUAAAUAACCGGUAAUACAAUUAUUAAUUAACAGGGCCGGCCUAGACAUUUGGGUGCCCUGCACGAAUUUUGAAAAAUGGCACCUCUAAUUCUCAAGAUUGUAAAGAAAAAUUUACAUAUAUUGUAAAGAAAUUAUUUUCGCGAAUCAAUUUGAGCAUUCAAUCAUAAUUAUGAUGUUUAAUUUUCAGGUUCAAAGUCGGAUGGAUCUGGUAGGCCUAUGAAGGAAGUUGCCUGUCCUACUUGUACAGUCCAUUUGCAGGUCCCAAUUAUGUUUCACUUGACACUUCACACUUCCUGGGAACUCUAUCUUUGACAUGCCUUACAUUUUAUAUGUUCUAAUUAAAAUCGUGUCAGAGACCAGAGGUGUAUAUUUUUAUUAUUUUCAUCAUCUUAUAUAGGAGUAUGUUUUUAGUUAAGUCAAUUAACCUUAAAAGCUACUCCUUCCAUCCCCUUUUACAUGUCCAGUUUGACUGUUGACCAGUCAAAUUGACUAUAUUUUGAAUGAAAUUUAUAUGUAUUAUAUAAUUGUGAAAAAUAAUAAAAAAUAUAUCACUAGAAAGUAUAUUUAGUCUAUUUUAUUAUGCAACCUUUCAGAUUUUAAAAAUAAUGAAUGGAUAAUUUAUAAUGUUUAGUCAAAAAUUAGUCAGUUUGACUCCUCGAAAAGCAAAAUGGACAUGUAAAAGAGGACGGAGGGAGUAACAUUAUUAUAUAUAUCCAGCUUCCUUGCACAGAAAUAUGAAUUCAGUUCUGUGAUUGUUUUAUGCAAUCUUAGAAAUAAUAUCAAUAGAUGUUAAUAAUCCAAUUUAUCACUUGUUUUUUUUCUCUUGCUCUUUAAAUAUUAAUGAAAUUGGCGACUAUGGUUACAGGUACAAGUUCUCAGUUCAGGUUCUGAGACCAUUGAAUGUGGGGUUAUCCAGCAUCCGUUUUUAGUAAGCGAACGCUGAUGACAUAAUAUAUAUUUCAUUCUCAAUCUUCUUGUUUUUAAUUUGUUUCAGCAAGUUGUGAGAUCAGAAAUUGGGUUGGCAUGUAUUUAUCCAUUCUCAUUAUACAAGACUUGCUAAACAUUGUCAGCUGGUUGUAUCAUGUAUGUACAAAUCUAUGGGUUGUCAAAAUUUUUGUUGAAUUUUAUGUGGCUUCACUCACUGUAAAUCUAUAAAAGGAAUUCGAGUGUGUGUACUUGUUAUUUAUUUGUUGUUGGAAUUAUUGUACGUACGGUUUCAGGGUGAUGCUGUAGGUUUCUAUUAUUGAACUUGAGAUUACUGUUUUGAUUUUAUGCUUCAAUAAGGUUGCUUGUAUUGUCUUUUUGUUCCCCAUUAAUGCUCCUGACCAUGAUGGACGAACAUUCUCUAUAACUGUCUUGGAAAUUUUUACCUGUGGCCAAAUGUGAUAAAGAAUGAAUUACCUGCUUUAUUUUUGGCUUAAUGACCUUUUAGCCCUCGAGGUUUGGAUAAAUGUUCCGAUGCGGCCUCGAUGUUUAAAGUUGUUCGAUUCAACCCUCCAAGUUUUCCGAAUGUACCUUUUAACCCUUAUGACAUAUACUGGUAUAUAACGGGGUGGACAAAGUUGACAUUUCACACGUGAGGGUUAAAAGGGGCAUUAAACAUCGAGGAUUAAAAGGAACAUCUAAUGUAUUUUAAUGUAUUCUUGAGGGAUUAAAAGAAACGAGAUGUAUACUUUAGGGAUUAAAAGGUACGCCCAAACUUUACCCUGAAUAUGAAUUGUCAAGUUUACCCUCCGUUAUAUACCGUCAUUUGAAAAGAGGGCUAANCAAACCCAGCCUCUCAUUCCCCCUACACAAUUGAUGAACUCUCAUGUUGCCAACCAACAAGAAGGGUUGAAUCGAACGACUUUAAACAUCGAGACCGCAUCAGAACAUCCAUUCAAACUUCGAGGGUUAAAAGGUCAUUAAGCCUUUAUUUUUUAAACGAGUGUUUCCUAUAUCUAUUAAACUCUAAAGAGGGUAGGGAAAUAGAUAUUCCAGUAAAAACAAACAUGUUUAAAAUAAAAUCUAUAAUCUAUAAUUUCUAAACAUGUUUCAUCGAUAUCAUGUGAAACAUGAAUUGUAAAUAUCAUAUAAAAAUCCUAUGUUAUUAUCAUUAUAUCACAUAUAUCAUAUUCCCUCUGUCCCUCUCAUUUCUUUACAAUUUUUUCAUACUGCUUGACACGCAUUUUAAGACGCAUAUAAAACAUAGUUCUAUAACUUACUUUUAAAUUAUUAUUUUUUGUAUAAAAAUUUAACCAUCAAAUUUUAUUCAGAAGAAAAAAAAGUUCAAAAUAAUUUAUCGAACUACGUUUUACGAAAGCAUUAGAAUGCGUGCCGAGCCCCUGUCGCCCAAUGUAAACAAAUGAGGGGGACGUAGGGAGUACUAUUUACACAUAUUAGCUCAUCGGAGUCCCUGAUGUCUGCUAUGCGCCUAUCCACCAUCUUUGCUCUAAAUAAUAUAACAAAUUAUAUAAUAUUAAAUAGAUAGUAUUUGUGUAUGAUAUUUUAUUGAUGAAUAUGUUUUUCUAUUAUAGACUAUUGAAUAAGGGAUUCGGUUCGUCAUGAGAAGGAUGAAUGUAGAGAAAUUUAAGAUGUUCUAUCGAGAAACUGAUAAUAUCUAAUGUUACAAUAAGGUCUUUUUACAUAGAGAUCCUUCAGUUGUUACAGUAUUACAUGAAUUAUUUUCGAGUGUAAUCUUUUCAAGAUUCGUCUUGUCUCCAUAUUUUCUAGUGCCAGCUUUUCCAGAUUCUUCUGGUCUCCAUAUUUUCCAAGAUGUCAUAUCUUCUUGUCACGUCUUCCGUCUUCUUUCUCAAUUAUGCAUGAUCUUCAAGAUUUUCUUGUCUGUGUCCUGUUAGCUUUUUUUGUCUUUCGGCUUUCAAUAAUUUCUACAUUAUAGUAUUAGUUAGCCUAUAUAACAGAACUUUAAAUGUGAGGAAAGUUCUCCUAUAAUUAAGGAUACAUAUUAUUUGCGAAAAUUAUUUCAUUUAAAAUGGAUUAUUUCGCAUUUGAUUCAGUGUAAAAAAGUUGGGAUGAUCGUUUCGGUCACAGGCCACACUGCAAUCAUGUAAAGCUUAAUACCGUAAGAUUUGUUUAGUAGUUUAGGCAGUUCUUUGUAGGAACAUAUAUAAUGAUAAGUUGAACCCAUUGAUUCAUUGUUUGCAUCCAAUCUUAUAACUUAUACUACAGGACAUAUCUUCGGGUGUGUUUUAAUCAAACUGUUUAAUUAUAAGUGGUUUAGCAACUUAGCAUAAGUUAUAUUCAUAUCCUGGUUCUAAAACAUUAGUUGGCCAUGAAACUCUUGGAUUCUAAAUCAUUACUUAUUUUAUGUCAUCUGUAUUUAGAAGUUGACAUUUUAUUUUAUAUCAAACUUGAACACAUUCAUCUCCGGUACUGUUAAACACUGUAAGGCUGCAGUGAAAUUGCCAAUAUAUUAAAAACCGGACCUCAACAACUUCAAAUUUUCAAGUCUUUAUAAAAUACAGAAAUAUUUUUCUGUUUGCAAUCAUUCUUUUUUAAAAUUUCUUACGAUGGUGUGUUUCUAAAAAAAAAUGUCAAGUAGGUCACUCGUUUCUAAAAAUUUCUUACUUUUUUAAUUUUUUGAUUGUUUUAUUUGAUUUAAAUAAAAAUAAAUAGGAGAUAAAUUUUGAAAAAUCUAAAAAUAUUAUCUAAAAUACUAGAACUCGGAAUCUUUCAUUUAGAUGUAAUACCAUUCAUAAAAAAUGUGCGAAACUCAAUAUAUAAUACUUUCAAAAUUUCGACUAAUGAUAGAGUGAUAUUUUUGAUACAAAUUUUUCUAAUGAGUGUCUCAUUUGAGUCAAUUUGGGAAUCAGUGACUCAAUUGAUACAUUCGGACGAAACGAGUGAUCCACUUGAUAUUUAUCCCGUUCUAAUAAUAUAACUUAAAUUAUAUAAUGUUAAAUAGAUAGUAUUUGUGUAUGAUAUUUAUUGAUGAAUAUAUUUUUCUAUUAUAGACUGUAGAAUAAGGGAUUUAGUCUGUCAUGAGAAGAAUGAAUGUAGAAAAUUAAGAUGAUGUAUUGAGAAACUGAUGAUCUCCAAUAUUACAAUAAAAUCUCUUUAUGUAGAGAUCCUUCUGUUGUUACAGUAUUAUAUGAAUUAUUUCCGAGCGUAAGCUUUUCGAGAUUUGUCUUGUCUCCAUAUUUUCUAGUAUCAGCUUUUCCAGAUUCUUUUGGUUUCCAUAUUUUUCAAGAUGUCAUAUCUUCUUAUAUCAUGUCUUCUGUUUUCUUUCUCAAUUAUGCAUGAUCUUGAAGAAUUUCUUGUCUAUUGUCGUGUCAGCUUUCAUAAUUUCUACAUUAUCGUAUGAAUUAGAUUAUAACUGAACUUUAAAUGUGAGGAAAGUUCUUCUUUAAUUAAGGUACAUCUUAUGUGUGAAAAUUAUUUCAUUUAAAAUGGAUUAAUUGUUUCACAGUUGAUUUAAUGUAAAAAAAAUUGGGAUGAUCUUGUUUUGGUCACAGGCCACACUACAAUCAUUUAAAGGUUAAUAUGGUAAGAUUUGUUUGGUAGUUUAGGCGGUUCUUUGCAGGAACAUAUAUAAUGAUAAGUUGAUCGCUUCCUGUUGAACCUACUGAUUCAUUGUUUGCAUCCAAUCUUAUAUCUUAUACUAGCAUGACAUAUCUUCGGGUGUGUUUUAAUCAACUUGUUUGAUUAGAGGUGGUUUAGCAACUUAGCAUAAGUUAUAUUCAUAUACUGGUUCUAAAACAUUAGUUGGCCAUUAAAUUCUUGGAUUCUAAAUCAUUACUUAUUUUAUGUCUUCAUUUAUAUUUAGAAGUUGACAUUUUCUUUUAUAUAAGAAUUCAAACUCGAACAUAAUUAUCUCCGAUACACUAAAGCACUGUAAGCUGCGGUGAAAUUGACAAUCUAUUAAAACUGGACUUCAACAAGGUCAAAAUUUCAAGUCUUCAUAAAAUAUAGAAAUUCCUUAAAAUUCUUACGAUGGUGUGUUUUUUAAAAAAAAAGUGUUAAAAAUCAUAUGUAAAUUUAUGUGUUGCUGUUCACUCAAAAAGCAAAGCAAACUGAGCAGGCUUCAUGCGGAAAUGGUUUAGAAUAAUGUGCAUGAUGGUUGACGGUUGAAACAGAAAUGAGGUAGGCCACCAAACUACACGACCAUUUUCGAUUAAAUUUUAGUUAAAGCACUCUAUAAAAAGAAAAUUAUUGAGCCUGUUUGGUUGAGAGAAGCAGAAACUGUUUCUGACUUCUGCUUUUCUUGACCCGUUUGUGUAAAAAGUAGAAGCAUUUUUAAAAAGCUGAGACUUCUUCCUCACAGCUUCUGUUUUUUUUCCAAACAUUUUAUUAACUUAUUUACUUCUCACUUCUACUCCACCUGUUGCAAGAAGUCACUUCUUUUAAGUUAACCCAAACGGCCCCAUUAUCAUGCUAAAUGAACUUGUCAUUAUACUAAAAGGUAACGGAGUCCAUUAUUUCAUUACUUUUAAUCUCGAUAGAAAGUAGGAUAUAUAGUUUGGUGGUAAAGAGUCAUUAAUUUUUGUAUUUGUUGAAAUAUAACAUGAGAUUCAUUUGGGAUUCAUGCAUACAUGAUGUUCGGCCGGAAAAAAUAAAAUCUAAAACUUAUAUUUUAAAUCUCGAUGUAUGAGUUUUUGAUAAACAAAGAGGGAGGUGGGUAUGAGAUGAAUUCAUUUUUGAUUUUUUUUCUCUUUGAGUAAUAAAAUGUUAAUGUCUGAUACAAAAUUAAAUCAGUGAUGCCAAAAUAUAUAAUAAUAAUUAUUUCACUAUUAUUUUAAUUAAUAUAAAUUAAUAACUUAUUUCUAGAAAAUCAGAUAUAUUGAUUUUAUCCCUCAAAUUCAUACUAACUUAAUCUGAUUUAUCAUUUCAACCUCAUUCUACUGAUCGAACCAAAUAGAACCAAAUAACCCCUUAACAUUUUAGAUGGACAGAUACUUGGUUAUUUAAAUUGCAUAGUUAUUUGAAUAUUCUUAAUUAUUUAAAUUACUCCGACGAAUAAGACCCACGUAUUAACGAUUGGAAAAAUAGCUAGCUCUUGUCUUGUCUCUGUAAAUUAGUACAUGGGGGCACUUGUCUAGCUAGCUCAUUCUUCUAAACCAACUUCAACAAUCUUUUCUUUUUUUGUUAAAUAACUUCAACAAUCUUACUCCAGGUGUGAUAGAAGAUUACAAGUUAUUCUAAUAGAUACUUGCCCGAAAGUAACAAAUUACACCGAUCAUUUCAAUACUGAGCUACCUAGAUAUACUGAAAAUCAUGAAUAAGUUUUUUCUCCUUUAUUGCCUCUUAACUUCAAUUCUUUUCUUGAUAAAAUAAUUUGAGAACAAAGUACUCUAAUAAAUUAAAUUUAUGAUUAAUGGGCUAGUACUCAAACUCAAAAAUUCAUAACCUUUUGGUACAUACUUGAUACACGCAUUCUAAAUUGCACUCCACACUUAAAAAUCACGCCCAUCAUUUUUAUAUGAUAGUAAGCCUCUAGGCCUAUAUAUUACCAUACAGGAGGAAAACUAAUUACAAAUUUUUAAUUUUGCCCCUCUGAAAUUUUCUUCUGCAGCUGGUUUUGAUUAACCUUAGCUGGUUCUGAAAUAAAUGGUAUGUAUCUCAUGAUGUUUGUUGGUUCCGAACUUAGCGAGGAAAGUCUUUCUAAAAUCCACAUAUGUAUCUAUAGUUCUGGCGGGGAGCCUGUUAAACCAUCUCUGCGCAUUUCCCUUGAGGCUGGUCGCGAAGAAGCGGCAGCUAGUGAGGUCAUUGUACUCAUAGAAUUUGCUCAGCUGGUCAAACUGGUUGAGGUGAUCUUCCGGGUCGCUUUCACCGUUGUAAGCGUCUAGACUUGGGUGCUUUAGGUGCCUUUGUUUUCUUUCGUCUUCCAACCUCCGCGUAAACGGGGAUUCGCCUAUUGCCGCAGAUACUUCUCCUUCUACUCUUUUCUUUAGAUCAUUGAUGGUUUUGAGGAGUUCGUCUCUGGUGCUGCUUUCUGGUUUCCUCUUUGGUGUUCUUUCUCUACGAUUCCUAUCUCCUUUUUCUCCAUUCUCCACAUUGCGGCGUUCCUCAUCUCGCCUCCUUUCAUCUCUUCUUUUUUCCUCUUCGCGUUGUUCUCUGUGUGUGCGCCAUGUUUCAUCACGGUGGUGAUCCCAGCCAUGUCGUGGGUGAGAGGUAUUUCUGGAUGAUAUAUCCAAGUCUGGAGAAGAUGGAUCGUUCCUGGUCAUUUUCCCGUCUGCUGUGUCUCCGAGAGGAAGAUCUUCCUUCGCUUUGAUAGGACUCCCCUCUGCCUUCUUCUUCUCGUCUCUUUCGCUUGAGGUCUGCGACUGUUGCUCUUAAAUCUUUAGCUUGGUUCUUCGUCAACCCUGUUAAGGUCAGAUGUCCGGAGGUGUUUUCCGAUGAUGGCGUACUGGUUCGUCCGUCCUUUAGAUGAUGAUUUUUGUUUGUUUUUUCCGGUGGUGAGUUUUCCUCGCGGCGCUCUUCUCCAUGUUCCUGAUCUUGUGUCGCCAUACUCCUGGUUUAACUGGUUUAGCGGAGGCCUUGCCGAGGGUAUUGUUUUUCUCUCAGUGGUCGAGCUCGAGAGGUCAGGGGAUGAAUUUCAUGCAACCACCCCUUCCUGGCGCGCCAAAUGAUAAGACUCAAAAUGCCUCCUGCCAGGUGUCACUGAAUGCGUCCUUUGUUUUCUACGGUGGCGAGCUGUACGUGAACUGUAUGUGGGGUAACCUGCAAAACAAUGCCUAGCCGGGGGUGGUGGCCGUAAGGCUAAGGCAUCUCCGGCGUGAUAAUCAGUAACUCUCUUAUUUCAAUCUCUUUUACUAGUUUAGUGCGUGCCUCGUAAUGUCAUUUCUCUUUCUUAUUUAUAGUUCUUCAUCCUCGCUCCUGGACCUCUCUCGGUUACACGUGUCAAGGAGAAUAUUCUCUUUUCUCUCCCGCAGAUGAUGACUUUCCGUGGACUUUGCUUUACGCGCCCGCAUGAGGUUGGGAUUCCUUUCAGCUGACGUACUCCCUGUGACGUAAUGAGUUCCUACAUGUCCUUGAUCUGGGGUGGUCCCUAUCAGAUUUCAUAUCGAUUUUUCUUCUGAAGACCGAACAAAAGAAAGUGGCAUGACGAAUAUCAUUAGUUGAUUUCAGCACCCUGCUUGAGUAAAGAGUUUUGACAUUUUUUUCCUAUAUAGCUAAAGUGGGUUUAGAUUAAUUAGAUUGGUUGUACCGUAAAAAUGAAUUUUGUCUUGUUAAACUGAUUUAGACUUUUGUUUAUUAACUUAAUUUCCACACUUCAAUUACAAAAAUAACAAAUGAUGUUGUGAUAAGGAUAUUUAUAUAAUUUUUGUGUUGUUUCAUAACGUGAAAGUGAACCUUAAUUAGCUUGUCCACAUAUUCUGGAUAUUUAAAAAAAGACAUGUGAAGCUAUUAUAAUUAGUUGAAAAGUUAAAAUUUAUGUUGGAGGAGGCUGGCUAAAGUUACUUGGUUCUAUAUGAUAGUUUCAAAUUAACUUCUUUUCUUUUGUCAAGUAACUUUAUUUUCCUCUUACAUAUUGAUUAAAUAAAUAAUUUAAAUGAUAAAUAAGAUGGCAAAUCUUGAGAUUAACUAAGUUUUUAUUCCACCUUAUCUCAUAUAUAUUAAAACAAAUUAUGUCAUUUUUUGCAAUUUUAUAAAAAUAAAAGUACACUCCUCAACAAUAUAAAAUGCUUAUAUUCAGGUGAGAUUUGAGUUGGAUUGAAAUUUUUAUAAUCAAUUCAAAUAGAUGAAUAAACUUAUAAGGUCAAACUUCUAAAACAUUAAGGCCCAAUAUUGGCCCACCCACUAAUAUUAGGUAUAGUGUAGGUCAUUUCGGUUAGGUAUUAUAUAUAGAUAGGGUAGGGGUGUUCCUCAAUUUCGUAGCCGGCCCAAUAUUGGCCCACCCACUAAUAUUAGGUAUAGCGUAGGUAACUAGGUAUAUAUGGGUGGGGAAAGGGGUGUACAUCAUUCCCCCCGCCCGCCUGCAACACACCUGUUCAAAACACAUCUCAAUAUUUUGGCCUUUCUAUAUAAAAUUAUAUUGUUAGUUCUAUUUCACUAGCCAACAAUUAUUCAAAUCAUAUGUUGUGGUUAUGUACUCUCUUUGGCAUGAUUAACAAUAUCAGGUACGUUAAGUGAUUUGUGAAAUCAUAUAUUUGAUGUGAUUAACUAUAAUUCUAUUAUAAUGUUUUUGUAUUUUUAGUUGGAAUGAUUAUUAUUGAAUUUAUUAUUCUGGUGUUGUUUUUUUGAAAGAAUUAUAGUUGGUGAAGUAUGGAAAAUAAUGAAGAAAAUGCUCCAAGAAUAUGCAGGCAUAUCUCCAGUGGCAGGUUGGAAUUAAUCGUUAAAAUGCUUUUGUUGUUUGAUUAACAUUUGUUUACAGAAGGAUCAUGUUUAUAUCUAUUUUUCAGUACUUAUAUUUUGUUUUUAAUGCAGAACCUCCAAACAAUCAAUUCAGUUGUGAAUGAAAACACAAAUCAGGUUAACCAAAACCAAUUGGUUCUUGCAUGGUCCACAUUUCUACAACCGCUACUCCCAGUAUUCAAUACCAAUAUAUCAUAUACGAGAUAAAAAAACCUUUUAUAUAUAAUAUUCCAUUAUGCUAUAAACUUUUCAAACACUCCUGGACCCACAAAACCCCUAUAUAUAGUACGCUAGCCUGCUCGGAGAUUUUGUAUCCUGAGUCCUCUCUCUUAAUUCACAACUCUUUCAAUUGUAUCUUCAUUUCAGUUUCUUACUCACAUGGCUUUUUUCCAGAUCUCCAACCAAACCCAAGCUAUGGCUUCACCACCUUCACCUCUCAUCCCAGAUUCAUAUCAUAUCAACUCUUAUGUUAAUUAUCAAACCCAGCCUCUCAUUCCCCCUACACAAUUGAUGAACUCUCAUGUUGCCAACCAACAAGCGUAUCAUGUUAAUCAGCAUCAUCAUGACCCACUCCCAUUGGAGUUACUAUCAGAAUUGUCCUUUGAACUCAAUAAUCGAAGAGAAAACAUGCAGGCAUAUCUCCAGUGGCAGGUUGGAAUUUAUCGUUAAAAUGCUUUUGUUGUAAUUGCUUGAUAUAUUUUUUUUAUAUAAAAAGGAUCAUGGUUAUAUUUAUUUUUCAGUACUUAAUUAUAUUUAUACUUGUUUUUAAUGCAGAACCUGCAAACAAUCAAUUCAGUUGUGAAUGAACAUACAAAUCAGGUUUCACUCAUUCUCGAUUAUGUUUCAAAACUUCUGGAUUUGAUCCAAGAAAAAGAGAACAAGGUGGCGGCAACAAACCAUGCAAACUGGGGACUUCAGAUGUAUUCAAAUGAAAAUGACUAUCAAUUGAAAGUUUUGCAGCAGAUAGCAGUGGAGAAAGAAGCCCGGCCUGUUGGAAUUAAUUUUAUUAUUAAUUCCAAAUUUAUCUUUUAGUUUUUUUUUUUAUCUUUUAGUUUUUUUUAAAUAAACUGUUGUUAUUAAGUAGCUUGGUAGCAGCAAAGCAUAGGUGAUCAGUAGUAGUUGAGUUAUUUCUUGGUAGUGUAGAGUCUGUAGGAAACAUGCAGUAGUGGAGCAUUAUAAGGAGAUUAGCCUACUGUUCAUUUUGCGGCUCAAGAAGUGGAAGUGUUUCUCUAGUUUUUCUUUAAAUAUGUACGUUGUAUGCUAAGUUGAAGCUUAGCUCAUAAUAGAACAUUUCCUCUGUGUGUAUUUAUCUUUCCUCCCAAGCCUGCACAGAUAAUACACAGUUCUGAGCUUCCAUUGUUAAAAACACAGUCCAAGUUUCCACAAGCCCUAGUGGCCAACAUUCAACAAUAACUGGAGAUGAUUCAAGAGAGAGUUAUCAUCAGUUGAUGAUGAACGCUUCUGAACCAGAUGCAGGUUCUUCAUGUGGUGACCUUUCAAAUGACAUAAUAGAUAGUGAUUGUCAUAUGUGCGGCAAAGAGCUAUCUUCUGUAGUUAUCUCCCCAUGUAAAUAUUUAUGUUGUUUCAAAACAUGUGAUGCUAACGUGUACUCUUGCCCGUCUUGCCCUGUGUGCAAAAUGGCCAAGAAAAGCAGUUUGGAGGUUUCCUGACCUCUGAUAAAGAAAGGAGCAGACUGAUAGGACUUUGAGGUGGGGGUAACCCAGAACGGUUCCUCUUAAUUCGCUGGAGACCCUCCCCUUGAAAACAUAGAUUAAUCCUCCUUUUUGUAGCCUUCCCAGUCUCGGAUCUGAUUGCAUGCAGUAGGUUUGUUUAGCUAUGUUUAGGUCCAGCUGUGUAGUUUAGUAGCCUAUGUUCCUAUGUUCAGUUGCUUAUUACUGGGUUGAGGCAUAUAUGUUGCUUAUGUUCUGCCCUUCCUCUUGUUGGAGAGGUUUGGGUUAUUAAUAAAUUUGUGUUUGUCUAAAAAAAAAUAAUUCAAAAACGCUUAGUUUACUAUUACAAUUUAC